GUGCCUUUUGUAGAAUGAACCGGCGAGUUACGAUCUGAUGCAAGGUUAAGCAGUAAAUGUGGAGCCGUAGCGAAAGCGAGUCUGAAUAGGGCGUUGAGUAUUUGGUCGUAGACCCGAAACCAGGUGAUCUACCCUUGGUCAGGUUGAAGUUCAGGUAACACUGAAUGGAGGACCGAACCGACUUACGUUGAAAAGUGAGCGGAUGAACUGAGGGUAGCGGAGAAAUUCCAAUCGAACUUGGAGAUAGCUGGUUCUCUCCGAAAUAGCUUUAGGGCUAGCCUCAAGUGAUGAUUAUUGGAGGUAGAGCACUGUUUGGACGAGGGGCCCCUCUCGGGUUACCGAAUUCAGACAAACUCCGAAUGCCAAUUAAUUUAACUUGGGAGUCAGAACAUGGGUGAUAAGGUCCGUGUUCGAAAGGGAAACAGCCCAGACCACCAGCUAAGGUCCCAAAAUAUAUGUUAAGUGGAAAAGGAUGUGGCGUUGCCCAGACAACUAGGAUGUUGGCUUAGAAGCAGCCAUCAUUUAAAGAGUGCGUAAUAGCUCACUAGUCGAGUGACACUGCGCCGAAAAUGUACCGGGGCUAAACAUAUUACCGAAGCUGUGGAUUGUCCGUAGGACAAUGGUAGGAGAGCGUUCUAAGGGCGUUGAAGCAUGAUCGCAAGGACAUGUGGAGCGCUUAGAAGUGAGAAUGCCGGUGUGAGUAGCGAAAGACGGGUGAGAAUCCCGUCCACCGAUUGACUAAGGUUUCCAGAGGAAGGCUCGUCCGCUCUGGGUUAGUCGGGUCCUAAGCUGAGGCCGACAGGCGUAGGCGAUGGAUAACAGGUUGAUAUUCCUGUACCACCUAUAAUCGUUUUAAUCGAUGGGGGGACGCAGUAGGAUAGGCGAAGCGUACGAUUGGAUUGUACGUCUAAGCAGUGAGAUUGAGUGUUAGGCAAAUCCGGCACUCUUAAGAUUGAGCUGUGAUGGGGAGAGGAAAUUGUUUCCUCGAGUCGUUGAUUUCACACUGCCGAGAAAAGCCUCUAGAUAGAUAAUAGGUGCCCGUACCGCAAACCGACACAGGUAGUCAAGAUGAGAAUUCUAAGGUGAGCGAGCGAACUCUCGUUAAGGAACUCGGCAAAAUGACCCCGUAACUUCGGGAGAAGGGGUGCUCUUUAGGGUGCAAGCCCAGAAGAGCCGCAGUGAAUAGGCCCAAGCGACUGUUUAUCAAAAACACAGGUCUCUGCUAAACCGUAAGGUGAUGUAUAGGGGCUGACGCCUGCCCGGUGCUGGAAGGUUAAGAGGAGUGGUUAGCUUCUGCGAAGCUACGAAUCGAAGCCCCAGUAAACGGCGGCCGUAACUAUAACGGUCCUAAGGUAGCGAAAUUCCUUGUCGGGUAAGUUCCGACCCGCACGAAAGGCGUAACGAUUUGGGCACUGUCUCAACGAGAGACUCGGUGAAAUCAUAGUACCUGUGAAGAUGCAGGUUACCCGCGACAGGACGGAAAGACCCCGUGGAGCUUUACUGUAGCCUGAUAUUGAAAUUCGGCACAGCUUGUACAGGAUAGGUAGGAGCCUUUGAAACGUGAGCGCUAGCUUACGUGGAGGCGCUGGUGGGAUACUACCCUAGCUGUGUUGGCUUUCUAACCCGCACCACUUAUCGUGGUGGGAGACAGUGUCAGGCGGGCAGUUUGACUGGGGCGGUCGCCUCCUAAAAGGUAACGGAGGCGCUCAAAGGUUCCCUCAGAAUGGUUGGAAAUCAUUCAUAGAGUGUAAAGGCAUAAGGGAGCUUGACUGCGAGACCUACAAGUCGAGCAGGGUCGAAAGACGGACUUAGUGAUCCGGUGGUUCCGCAUGGAAGGGCCAUCGCUCAACGGAUAAAAGCUACCCCGGGGAUAACAGGCUUAUCUCCCCCAAGAGUUCACAUCGACGGGGAGGUUUGGCACCUCGAUGUCGGCUCAUCGCAUCCUGGGGCUGUAGUCGGUCCCAAGGGUUGGGCUGUUCGCCCAUUAAAGCGGUACGCGAGCUGGGUUCAGAACGUCGUGAGACAGUUCGGUCCCUAUCCGUCGUGGGCGUAGGAAAUUUGAGAGGAGCUGUCCUUAGUACGAGAGGACCGGGAUGGACAUACCUCUGGUGUACCAGUUGUCGUGCCAACGGCAUAGCUGGGUAGCUAUGUGUGGACGGGAUAAGUGCUGAAAGCAUCUAAGCAUGAAGCCCCCCUCAAGAUGAGAUUUCCCAACUUCGGUUAUAAGAUCCCUCAAAGAUGAUGAGGUUAAUAGGUUCGAGGUGGAAGCAUGGUGACAUGUGGAGCUGACGAAUACUAAUCGAUCGAAGACUUAAUCAA
This 2319-nucleotide ribosomal RNA is filed under the name Pseudomonas aeruginosa. RNAcentral describes it as "partial 23S ribosomal RNA". It matches the Rfam family "Bacterial large subunit ribosomal RNA", at positions 601 to 2925 of the family's 2925-position model. Lineage: Bacteria; Pseudomonadati; Pseudomonadota; Gammaproteobacteria; Pseudomonadales; Pseudomonadaceae. The record is from RNAcentral.